RNAcentral lists this ribosomal RNA (496 nucleotides) under uncultured bacterium. Its description in RNAcentral is "partial 16S ribosomal RNA". It matches the Rfam family "Bacterial small subunit ribosomal RNA", at positions 28 to 507 of the family's 1533-position model. The record is from RNAcentral.
GAUGAACGCUGGCGGCGUGCCUAAUACAUGCAAGUCGAGCGAACGGACGAGAAGCUUGCUUCUCUGAUGUUAGCGGCGGACGGGUGAGUAACACGUGGAUAACCUACCUAUAAGACUGGGAUAACUUCGGGAAACCGGAGCUAAUACCGGAUAAUAUUUUGAACCGCAUGGUUCAAAAGUGAAAGACGGUCUUGCUGUCACUUAUAGAUGGAUCCGCGCUGCAUUAGCUAGUUGGUAAGGUAACGGCUUACCAAGGCAACGAUGCAUAGCCGACCUGAGAGGGUGAUCGGCCACACUGGAACUGAGACACGGUCCAGACUCCUACGGAAGGCAGCAGUAGGGAAUCUUCCGCAAUGGGCGAAAGCCUGACGGAGCAACGCGGCGUGAGUGAUGAAGGUCUUCGGAUCGUAAAACUCUGUUAUUAGGGAAGAACAUAUGUGUAGUAACUGUGCACAUCUUGACGGUACCUAAUCAGAAAGCCACGGCUAACUACGUG